GUCAAACGCGCCAAAUUACAUGUUUAAUACACGCGCACCCUCCAAUGAUUCUUGUGAGGCUCCUCAUGUUUUCUUCUUUGAAUCCAUAAACAAGACCUCGAAGAAUGAAAUUGUUACAAGAUAUUCUCGUGCAUCACCACGAGGAUUGUCGAGUUGUUCAUCAAGUGAAAAUCGUACUGCAGAUAAUAUUUUUAGAAUUCAAGUCAUCUCACCAGCAACAAAACGAUAUGAGAUGGAUAGAUGUGAAUGUUGUGACAUUGUCGGAAUAGUUGGGAACAAAGUUGAGAUCAAAUUUAGAGACUGCAAGACUGAUGAAAUCAUCGCUUGAUUGAGUUGGGCCGCCAAAUUUCUUUAUUCUUUUACUAAACAUAUUCAUUUGUUAGCAAUUGUGAGAAUUGAUUUUUUGAUCGUUAGGGAAAAAGUAGACGCUACCUGUAAGAUAAGAAGUCAAAUUUUACGAUUGAAAUAAUAAAAUAAUGGUCAAAAAAUCAAUUUUUUGAUAUGAAACACUCCCAAACACCCCCUGCAAGGUUGUCAAGUUGUACCAUAAUUUAACUUGUAACAAAUAUUUAAAACCAAUAAUUUGCAAAUAUUUAUAAAUUGAUUAUUGUUUUCUUA
Long non-coding RNA from Olea europaea var. sylvestris, 618 nucleotides. RefSeq lists it as uncharacterized. The transcript is spliced from 2 exons. NCBI's taxonomy places the organism in Eukaryota, Viridiplantae, Streptophyta, Magnoliopsida, Lamiales, Oleaceae. The record is from RefSeq and is a predicted model, not a curated record.